Populus trichocarpa (black cottonwood) is the source of this 1171-nucleotide long non-coding RNA. RefSeq lists it as uncharacterized. Lineage: Eukaryota; Viridiplantae; Streptophyta; Magnoliopsida; Malpighiales; Salicaceae. The transcript is spliced from 4 exons. The record is from RefSeq and is a predicted model, not a curated record.
AUCCUCAUCCUCCAUCCCCAAUUGGUCCCCUCAAUGAUCUUGUUAGAUGGUUGCCCAGCAGUGGAGAAUGCAACACCAUCAAAUUCUUUCCAGCAUUCAUGAGCCUUACUUUGGAGCUUAUUGGACGCUAUGUUCUGCCUGAUAGAUCUGUUUUGCCGAUAAUGUAUCGCCACUUAGACCUCAGGUACUGUUAAAUUUUGUUUUGCCGCGACCUCAUUUGCCUAGAAUACAUGCAAUUCCACGUAUUUGGUUUCCCUUGGCCGCUAUAUUAUGGAUGCACAUUACAAGGCAUGCCUGUAUGCAGGCAUCAACACUAGUGGUAUCAACGGAGAAGUGAUGUCAGGCCUAGAAUACAUGCAUCUCUUCUACCAUUUUGAUCUUAUUAUUCUAGUUUAGAACCAUUCUGAUCUUGUUCUCCAAUUUCUAUUGUUUUCUGAAAGGUCUAUAUUUAUGUUAACAGAGGAUUACUGUUUUCAUUGUACCUUCAUUUGAUCCAAAGCCAAUGGAUUACUGGUCAGUUUUUAUUUCUUUGUACCUUAAUGGAUGCUGCAAGUGUGCAUGUUUUCAGUACUUUUAUUGUUGGAACUCUCAAGAAAUUAGACUUUUGUUUUGUCAAGGAGAUUGGAAAGGAGCGGGGGCACACACAAAUGACAGGCUAUGAAAUCAUCAAGAAAGCAAUUGAAAAGCUUGGUCUGAGGCAUAAAGAACACAUUUCAGCUUAUGGAGAACGGAAAGAGCAGAGACCCACUGGAUGACACGAAACAGCUGAUAUAAAUACUUUCAAAUGGGGUGUUGCUAGCUAAUCGCAGGCUGUCUUUCAUGUUUGACGCAACACAAAGAUAGAAGGAAAGGGGUGCUUUGAGGACAGAAGGCAUGUUUCAAACAUGGAUCCAUAUGUUGUGACUUCCAUGAUUGCAGAAACCACCAUCCUUCGGAUGCCAAGAGAACAUCAACCAACCCCUCAUGAAAUAUUGUUUUUAGUAGUCUGUCCAAGGAACCAUAGAAAGAUCUCUGUCAUCAGGAUGGAUAUCUUUCAGUUUGUUUCCCUUUGUAUUUGAAGCAGCAACUGAUGUUAUUGCUUUGUUUGCUUGCCUUAUGAUUCUGCAUUCUGUGUCGAAUAAUGCAACCCUAGAGUUAAGGAAAGAUGGUAAAAAGGAUUCCAUUAUGAAUG